AUGGGGCACCAGCACCAGAUGUUCAACGACCCCUUCGCGAGCAGCAUGUCGUCACUGGAGGAGGACAUGUUCUCCGGUGCCGGCGGCUACCACCACCUCACGCCUUCCAUGCAGUGGCCGGGCUUGGAUAACGACAUACCGUCAGCACCGGCUGCCAACAACGCCACCUCCUCCGGCGGCUCUGGAUCACACCGAAAGAUGAGUCACAACGCGUACGAGCGUGACCGCCGCAAGCAGCUCAACGAGCAAUAUUCCUCCCUCCGCUCCCUCCUCCCCGAUGACGACCACAAUAAGAAGAUGAGCAUUCCGACCACGGUGUCGCGGGUGAUCAAGUACAUCCCGGAGCUGCAGAAGGAGGUAGACGGCCUGGAGAAGAAGAAGGAGGAGCUGAGGCGGGCCAGCUACGAGCAAGGCGCCAUGAGGCAGAACACGGCCCCGAUCGUGUCCGCCACCUGCCUCGACGACAGGGAGAUCAUGGUCCAGGUCAGCCAGGUGAGCACCAUGGCCGGAGCUCUGCCCAUGUCCAAGUGCAUCAAGGUGCUGGAGAAUCAAGGCCUCCGCCUCAUAAAUUCCUCGACUUCCGCGUUCCAGAACAGGACGUUCUACAGCCUCCAUCUUCAGAGAACCCAGCGAACAAUGAGCAAGGAGGGCCAAACAUUUUGUAACGAACUGGAGAACGUCGUGAAGCAAAAGGCGGGACAACAUCUGCAUCAUUAG
This 717-nucleotide ribosomal RNA is filed under the name Triticum aestivum (bread wheat). RNAcentral describes it as "partial small subunit ribosomal RNA". Lineage: Eukaryota; Viridiplantae; Streptophyta; Magnoliopsida; Poales; Poaceae. The record is from RNAcentral.